GCCGGGCGUGGUGACUCACGCCUGUAAUCCCAGCACUUUGGGAGGCCGAGGCGGGUGGAUCACCUGAGGUCAGGAGUUUGAGACCAGCCUGGCCAACAUGGUGAAACCCCGUCUCUA
This 117-nucleotide non-coding RNA is filed under the name Nomascus leucogenys (northern white-cheeked gibbon). Lineage: Eukaryota; Metazoa; Chordata; Mammalia; Primates; Hylobatidae. The record is from Rfam by way of RNAcentral.